UGUCAUUUAACAAAGAAAAAUCAACCAAAAAAAUGAGUUCGCGUGUCAGAGGUGACAUAGGUUCGCCAUCACUGCCCUAGAACCAUCCUCUAAAGCACUAUUUUUCAACCUUUUAAAAAUCCACGUCCCUUUAGGAUGAGGAUAAAUACAUAUUACCCAUUAGAGGCUUCUCUUGGUUAAAUGGACUUGACCAUUUCGCCCCCCCCUUUCCCAGCUAAGAUUUUCCAAACAUCUUUUAAUAUUGAAUGUUGAUGUAAAAAAUAUGCUCAGAAAUGACUGCCUUGAGGACCACCCGCUGCCCCUCAAUUAUGCUGAUUGAGAAUGUUCAUUAGUUCUGCAGAAAAUAUUGUCUAAAGAAUGGGCGAUUUCCCAAAAGCACCUUCUCAAUAGUUUCUGAAGUGGUAGGUUACACUUCUUUGUAAUAAACUAUUAAAUGCUGUUAAGUGGUGUCUGGGCAGUAGAAGUGCAGAGUUUACCUGUAUAGUUCAAAUAUGUAUCAGGUGGCAGUACAAGUUAAUGGUCUUGAGUCUACAUCUGUAACGUGUGCCUGAAGUGCACACAUGUGAGCUCACACCAACACAAAUGGGCAUUAAGUUGUCUCUAUACACAUGUACUAAUAGGAAUUCCAUGGGUUUUAUUUAUCAUCUGACCUUAAUUUUGUGAUAGAUAAAUUCUGAUAGUUGCUGUCUAAAGAUUUAAACAAAAAAUAUCAUUACAGCCAUGGUUCAGUGGUUGAGCAUUGACCAGUGAACCAGGAGGACACAGUUCGAUUCCGGUCAGGGUACAUGUCCAGGUUGUGGGCUCGAUCCCCAGCAUGGGGCAUGCAAGAGGCAGGCAAUCAAUGAUUAUCUCUCAAUAUUAAUGUUUCUAUCUCUCCUUCUCCCUUCCUCUCUGAAAUCAAUAAAUAUAUUUUUAAAAGUAUCCUUACAGAAAGAGCAAAGGAAUCUGACACUUUCCCUCCUUAUCACGGUGGUGCCGCCGCAUCUGAAGAUCAGUUAACUGGCGUUCAGGUAGGAAAAGUCGGGAGUUGAUUUUCACGUGGAGCUUUUCAUCAUUUCUCUGGCCCUAAGCGUGUGUGCACCUCUGUGGUGAGUCUACACAGUUCUCUCCUUUUACUGCUUGGUACUGCUGAGGGGUCCUGGUUUUGGCUGAGGAAGGUCACCAGAGGAUACUCCCUCAGCAUUCCAUCACCGUGUUCUUUUUCUUUAUGCCUCUUACUGAUUGUGUGUCACUGACAUUCCUGCACUCCACUCUGACUCUCUUACAUAUUUUUUUAAAAAAAUAAUAUAUUUCUAUUGAUUUCAGAGAGGAAGGGAGAGGGAGAGAGAUAGAAACAACAAUGAUGAGGGAGAAUCAUUGAUCGGCUGCCUCCUGCACGCCGCACACUGGGGAUUGAUCCUGCAACCUGGUCAUGUGCCCUGAUAGGGAAUUGAACCGUGACCUCCUGGUUCAUAGGUCAGUGCUCAACCACUGAGCCACACCGGCCGGGCCAACGCUCUUACAUCUUAAAUUCAGUCCAGGCCUUGGCCCCGCAGCCUGAGAAUGAUCUGGGCCAGGAGAGCUCCAGCUACUGGGGCAUCUGUAAGUGUUCUUCUAGUUCUGCUGUGAAGCCACAGUUACGCCUCUGUGUUCCUUCGUGAAAUAAGCCUCUACUAUGACACCAGAUGCUUGGCGACAGAAAUAAAUAACACCAAGUUCCUGUCCUCAGCGACUCUCAUUAGAGUGGGGAAGAUAAAUGCAGAAAGAGGUGAUAAAAACCAGGGCCAGUGCAGUGAUUGGCAUUCGCCUGGGGUGUUCUGCAAACUCUAAGAGGGCCACUUAGCCUAUAGGAGGGUUGGGUGGCAAUGGAGUGUUAUGCGAGGCUCCCGGAGGGGGACUCUAGGCUGUCUUAAAGAUGAGUCGUGUUUAAUCAGGUGGAGAGGGGAGGAAAUGAACUAGAUGGAGGGAACAGCAUGAACUAGAAUUCUCUGUAAACAACAGUAACUACUAAGGAAGACAACAGGUACGCUUAUUCCAUUUGGGCACCAACAGAUGGUUCUGCCAACUUCCUAAAUAAGAAAUGAUUCAAGCCCUAACCGGUUUGGCUCAGUGGAUAGAGCGUCAGCCUGGGGACUGAAGGGUCCCAGGUUCGAUUCUGGUCAAGGGCAUGUACCUUGGUUGCGGGCACAUCCCCAGUAGGGGGUGUACAGGAGGCAGCUGAUAGAUGUUUCUCUCUUAUCCAUGUUUCUAACUCUCUAUCCCUCUCCCUUCCUCUCUGUGAAAAAUCAAUAAAGUAUAUUUUUUAAAAAAGAAAUUAUUCAAAUACCAUGAAAUUUCAUCAAAUUCGCUGCAUCUUUAAACGCACGAUGCUUGAUUUAUCUCAUAAUGACAAAGAAAUAUGUAAGUCUGUCUCUGCUUCAAACUUAACUGUUGUGGGGUACAUAUUAGGCAGCUUACUGAUAAAGGAAAUGUUAGGAGCUGAUUUUUUUCUUUUUCCUUUUGUUAGGAGUUGAAUUUGAUGAGAACAAAAAACAUGAACUUCCUGUGUUCUAGGUCACCACCUUCUAUCCUCUUUCCUUCUUCGAAGUACUUGUACGAGUCUUUUGUCCCCUAUGCGUUUGUCUCCAAUUUUCUACCUCUGUGAAUUAAUAAAGUUUUUCCUUUCAUUG
This is a long non-coding RNA of Myotis myotis, 2648 nucleotides long. RefSeq lists it as uncharacterized. The transcript has 2 exons. The record is from RefSeq and is a predicted model, not a curated record. Lineage: Eukaryota; Metazoa; Chordata; Mammalia; Chiroptera; Vespertilionidae.